RNAcentral lists this ribosomal RNA (442 nucleotides) under Paracoccus sp. Gbf-Chit-1. RNAcentral's name for it is "bacterial SSU rRNA". It matches the Rfam family "Bacterial small subunit ribosomal RNA", at positions 9 to 497 of the family's 1533-position model. The record is from RNAcentral. Lineage: Bacteria; Pseudomonadati; Pseudomonadota; Alphaproteobacteria; Rhodobacterales; Paracoccaceae.
GAGUUUGAUCCUGGCUCAGAACGAACGCUGGCGGCAGGCUUAACACAUGCAAGUCGAGCGAGACCUUCGGGUCUAGCGGCGGACGGGUGAGUAACGCGUGGGAACGUGCCCUUCUCUACGGAAUAGCCCCGGGAAACUGGGAGUAAUACCGUAUACGCCCUUUGGGGGAAAGAUUUAUCGGAGAAGGAUCGGCCCGCGUUGGAUUAGGUAGUUGGUGGGGUAAUGGCCCACCAAGCCGACGAUCCAUAGCUGGUUUGAGAGGAUGAUCAGCCACACUGGGACUGAGACACGGCCCAGACUCCUACGGGAGGCAGCAGUGGGGAAUCUUAGACAAUGGGGGCAACCCUGAUCUAGCCAUGCCGCGUGAGUGAUGAAGGCCUUAGGGUUGUAAAGCUCUUUCAGCUGGGAAGAUAAUGACGGUACCAGCAGAAGAAGCCCCGGC